UAAAAUCGGCCAAGAAUUCCAUGGAAUUGGAAUUCCAUUCAAAAUGGAAUUGUUGGCCAAAUCAAUAGUGUUGGCUAUACAAUUCUAAAUAGAAUUGUAUUUAAGUUGGUAGAAUCUUCAACUACUUUCCUUCCUUUUUUGACUCAAUAUGUGUAUAUAUAUACACAUAUCAUUAAGAAGGUUGACAAGAAAAAAAUUGAGAGAUAUACACAGAAGAGAGAAAGAAAACGUGAGAGUAAGAGAAAAAAAAUACUCUUGACAAGAAAAUUAGUUUUCUUGGUCUUUUACGUUUCAGCUACCGUUUUUGAGAAAAACUUUAGCAUAAUAUUUCCGUUCAAUUUGUUCGCGGGUUUCAUUUAUCAAAAGGUUGAUAGCAAGGAUCGGUCUCGGUGUGGAUACGCAUAGAGACUUCGCACUAUCGAAGAAAUUUCGGUAAAGAAACUCUCUUUACCAGGUACGUCUUAAAUCCUAUUUUUGACACGUAAAUAAAUUUUAAACAUGAGAAAAUCUACCUUGGAUUGUUAUUGUCUUCCGCUGCGUGUUACGAACACCCUUUAUCAGAGCCGUGGUUUAUUGUGUCUAAAAUUUAUUACGAAAUAUUUUAAUAUUAUAUUUGAAGAGAUUGUUAUUGUCUUCCGCUACGUGUUACGAACACCCUUAAAGCAAUCCAACAGCUUGAGCAUGUGGAACUAUGGAAAUAUUGAAUAUGUGGUUGUUCAUGUAGUGUAUAAUCAUUUCGUAAGAAGUUUAGUUGAUUAAAUUCUAUUGAAUAGGCUGUAUUUGGUCAUGGGAUAGUUAAAUAAGCCAGGUGGACCUUAUCAGUAGCAAUACAUAUAAUCUAAGGAUUAUUUGUUCCAUUGUUUGUUAGCAUAGGUAAAUACAAAUGAAUGAAGGUGCAUUAUGUUAUCAAAAUAAUAGAUCAAAAGCUUGCUGUCGUAGUUUCAAUAUGCCCAAUCAUUGUUAAAAUUAGUUUAAGUCAUGUUAAUUUGUUAGCAAACUCAAACCAGAAAUGUACUAUGAUUAGUUAUUAAUAUUAGUUAAUAAUUGUCAUUUUACAUUGUAAGCAUUUCAGUUAAGCCAUUAGUAAUGAUAAUUAUGCAGUUGGUUUGAAAUAGUUCAUCCAUGUUUUCUUAAAUUGUUUCUCGCUAAUACUGCCAGUAAUUUGUUGCACAUUCCUUGGGAUUAAGAUUUUGGGCCCUACUGUCCAGUUGAAGGCCCAGACCAUUGCCCGUUGAUUUAAUUGGUGAAAAGUUAUGGCCGCAUAGACUGAGACUUGGACUCAGUCAUAGUGUUAACAAUACCAAAACGGGGCGUAUGCAAGCCCUGUGAGUGCAUAUAGUCAGUUCUAAAUUUGGAGUGCUUCCACCCAGACUCGAUAUAUGAGUCGCACACAGCCGAAGGGAAAUGGGGAUUGUUCUUUUUAUGCAAGCCCAGUUCCAUAAGCCAACAAUUUGGUCUUGGUUCAAAGAAUUCAAUUUAAGCUUUAAGCAUAACAUAAGUUUGGCUUUUGAGUUAGGCAGUCGGUUCACAAUAAAAGGUUCUUUCUUUUGUUUGGACCCGGACUUGAACAUGAAGUCCGUACAUUAAUAUUAAUUAAUUAGGAUCUUUUUUUUUAUUUAGAGACAAAACAAAAAUAAAAAAAUAUAGUUGCUAUUAGGUUUGCCCUUUUCAAAAUAAAAUGAGACGAGCCUCGCCCAAUAAAAUACAAAAUCGCGGGUCCUUCAGUAAAAGUUUAAAAAUACUUAGAUGUCCGGGACGGGCCAUUUAGCGAAUUUCACGACUUUCCAAAAUAUAAUAACGCGUUAGCCACUUUAGGCGCGAUUUUAAUAAAUUUACAUUCUUCAACUCAGGUGUGCAUUUCAUGCGACCCAAAUCAAAUCUCAAAACGUUAAAUAGAGUGUGCUUAGGAUUGCGGGUGCAUUUCAUUUGACGUGCUCCGAAGGCACGCUCUAAACGACGUUCAAUUUUCUUUAAAAGUACAUAUUGAAUUAAAGCGGAUAAAAGUGAAAAUUGUCACAUAGGUUCAUCAUAUAAUAAAAUCAGGUAAAUAAGCUAAAUACGAUAGUUGAGUGACCGUGCUAGAACCACGGAACCCGAAAAUGCCCAACACCUUCUCCCAGGCUAAUGGAAUUCCUUACUCGGAUUUCUGGUUCGCAGACUCUUAACAAAGUCAUAAUUUUCCUCGGUUCGAGAUUCAUCUGGUGACUUGGGACACCAUUAAUCUCCCAAGUGGCGAAACUGAAUUUUAAUAAAUAAAUCCCAUUCUGAUUGUCCUUUAAUUGGAAAAACUCAUUUACACCUUUGUGGGUGUAGUGAAAAAGGAAGUGUGACAGUUUUGGCGACUCUGCUGAGGAAAAGAACCCAGAACGCUUUGUUCAGGGUUAAAGACUUUGAGCUUACAUAAAUUAUUGUGUUUGGCUUUAUCUAAUUUUGUUACAUGAUAUGUGCCUAAUAUGCUAAUUGACUGCUUUUACGGCUUUGAUAUUUUGUGAAUUGUAUAUAAAUUGUGCCAAAACCCAUCUCCUCUAUGAGUCUUCUAAAUCAUGAAGAAGGGUGAACUUCGUGUGACUUCUUUUCUGUAUAGUAUCUAAUUCCCAAUUUAGAAUGAGGUUUGGAUAAGUUGCAAAGCCGGCGAAGCUUCUGUAUUCCUAGUACACUGCCUUCCUCUUGGCUCGAGCUGUCCGCUCGGGUAAGCCAGGUUUCGAACCUAGAAAAACUAAACUUCAUGUCGGAUCCCUAGUAGGAACGCUUAUCUGCAUCAUGUGCAUUUUGACUUAGGGACUCAACAUAAGGGUUGGGUUCGUCUAAGACAAGCAACCUGAAAUGAAAAAGAGUGUCCUGAUGCAUUCUACUUGUUUUCUGUGCAUUUAUUUGUUCGGAGUUGCAUGUUGACCGGCUUCUGAAUACCGAAUAUACCAAAAAUUUGAGAAAAAGAGAGAAAUAGCAAUAUAGAGAGGUAAUUUCCCAUUUUAGAGAGAAAAAAUAAUGCCCAAAUACUGUCGAAACUCUGUCAAAAUUUUAAAAAAUGGAAAAGAAAGUAUCUUAUGUUUAAAUUGUUUGUUUUACUCAGAAAAGCAAAAAAAUAAAAAAAGUCUUUUAUUUUAGUUUGUCUUGUUUUCAAAAAAUAGAAAAGGAAAAAUAGUUUGUUUUGCCAUGAAAAAUAAAAAGAAAAAGAGUCUUGAUUAUUGGUUUUCAAAAUAGCUUACUUGCCAACGAAAAAUAGGUUGUUUUCUCGUUUGUUGAAAAAUAAAAAGGAGAAAAGUCUUUUAUUUUUUAGUUUGGGAAAAUAGGUUGUUUCAUUGUUUGUUGAAAAAGAAAAGAAAAAAGAGUCUUGUUUUUUGAAAAAGGGUAGUUCUUUUAUUUGCUUAUGAAAUGACAGAAAUAAAAACGAAAAAGUGUCCUUUUUUAAAACAGUUCGGUUAAUUAGCCCGAAUUACGCAGUUUUGAUUCUCACUAGAUAUGAGACACAUAGGCAACUCCCAUCGGGUUCAACCUCCCCUUUGCAAAAAUAGCCAAAAUAUCAAAUUUUUAAUUUUUGUUAUAAAUAAGUCGGGUGAUUCCAUUUUCGUCAAAAAUAGCCGAAUGUGCCCGAAAGGGGUGAUAGAAGGCUAAUUUUGCAUAAACGGUCCCCUUUGGUCAUAUUUAAAAUUUUGACCGUUUAAUCCACACAGCCUUAAAAUCUUCAUUUCCAAAGUGAUGAAAGGUCGUGUUUGACAAAUUGGGUCUUUCAUUUUAAUUUGGGAAAGAAAAAAUAGUAGCUUUGUUUUGAAUCAAAUAAUUUUAUGCUUUUCUUGAUCGCCUUAAUAAAUGUGCAGGAUGAGCACUAAUGAAAACAAACCUUUCACCGUCUUUAGUGAGAUCCCCCUCCAACUCCAUAUGUGGUGGAACGAUUUGGAAAAAAUAGCAAAGAAAUAGUGGUCAGAAUUUUGGAAGGUCUCGUCGGUCUACUAAAUGCCAGGGCAAUGUCGGAUGUCAUCAAGGCUUUAAUGCUAUUUUGGGACCCGACCCAUAAUGUAUUUCGCUUUGCAGAUUUUAAGCUUACAACCACACUGGAGGAAAUCGCGGAUUAUGCAGGGCUGAAUGAAAAUCUGAGGGGUCAAUAUCUGUUGUCACCAAGGCCGAUAUCUCCGCAUCGAUUUUUGGAUUUGCUAAAUAUUUGUUGGACUGUGCAAAACGAUGAUUUUUCAUGAGGAUGUUGCGCUCUUCAGUUCCUAUAUUAGCAUUAUGGUACUCGUUUGGGUUUCGAAGAGCCAAAUUUGGGACUGACUCAUGCUGGAAUUAGAAGUAAAUGGGAAGCAAGACGCACCUUGGAAUUCAUAUCCGCAUUCUUGGGAAUCGUGGUCUGCCCACGAGAAGAUAAGAAAAUAGAGAUAAGUCUUGUGGGGAUGGUUGAUGUCGCAAUGAAAAGGGUCUAUAUCACUAUAGUUCCCCUAAUCUUGUCAGAAAUGUACCGAGCAUUGACUGCGUGCAAAGAGGGAGGAAGAUUUUCCAAGGUUUCAAUCCACUGCUUCAGUUGUGGAUGCAAGAACAUCUCUGCCAUCGGGUGGGGUAUAUGAACAACUGGCUGACUGGUUUAAGUUGCAUUGAAGAGUUUGAGAAAUGGGUAACGGGUGUUACAUUCCUCGAGGGUACUGAAGAUUGGCUUAUACGACUGAGGUCACUGACGGCGGAUCAAACUGAAUGGGCAUUUGACUGCUUUCCCGCUACUGAAGCAGUACACAUGUUAGCCAAAGAAUGUUAUGUUCUCUUAAUGGGUGUCCGUAGUAUCAAACCAUAUGCUCCCCAUCGGGUACUGAGCCAAUUGGGAAGGUUUCAGGUUGUCCCUAAUGAUGAAGACCUGAGCAAGCAUGUCAUCGAGUUAAGUCCGAGAGCCACGUUCCCGGAAGAUGAAAUUCACAGGUUGUGGAAUGAAUGCAGAUUCCUUGAGCCCAAAACUAUGGUACGAAAUUUAGCUAAAGGCAAGGUGUACCCAAAGUAUAAUGCAUGGUUUGGGAAAAUUUUCUAGAUUUAUUAGAGGCCCAAUAAAUGUGCCCAUGUCCAGCAAUUUACGGAUGAUUCGCAAGAACAAUGGGGUUGGCUAGCAAAAGAAGAAAGUUACAGGGCAGAAAUAGGCAAACUAAAGCAACAGAUUGGAGCUCUGAAAUUUGAGAACAGUGUGCAAUUUGCUGCUGAUUGGGGAGAAAAUAACAUGUUGGCCACAAAAAAUGAGGUGUUUAGGGCCCAAAUCCAGCAAAUGAAGAUAGCUGCAAUAACCAACAAAGGAGCCGGUCGGAUGACCGGUUGAUAAAGGGGCUAAAAAGGAAAUUAGUGAGUGUUGGGAUGAGCUAAAAAAAUUUGAGGGCACCAUAGCGGGACUCCAGGCACAGUGGGGAAAAAGAACAGAAGAACAAGCCCAUUAUUUUCAGCAAUUGACGAAGGAUUAUGAAAAGACCAUUGCAAGCCUGAAAAGAAAAGUGGUCACCCUUGAGGAUAAAGCAGCUAAGCAAGCCCAGGCUUUUGAGUCCGAAAGUGGACACUGUUAUGACUUACUGGCCUGAAUGGAAGUAGAAAUACAGCAGCUGCAAGAUCAGAGUCUCCAGGAUUCUCAUAUGUUGGAGGCUCGUAAUAAUUAAAUAAGGCGAUUGCUUAUAGAAAAGAGUCGAACAAGAGACAGGAUUGAGACCAUUGCCCACGCCAUCCUUAGGAGAUGCCGGGCAUGUGAAGACAUGACCCACACUACCUUCUUCUUGGCUGUGAUGAUUUAUGUCAAUCGAACCAUGUAUGAGCUAGAGCAGCUUGAAAGGGAUUUGGCACCUAGGCCCGCGACGAAGCCGAACGAUGCCCCGCGGGCACCCACUUUUGAAGCACUAAUUUACUCAUAUAUCGAGUCUGUAUUUUCCAUUUUAGAGUCUGUUGUUUGUAUGUCUGUUUUCUUUCUGCGUUCGAGUAUGCUAGUAUGUUUGGAGUUUGUAUUUGAGUUUAGUUGGAGUCUGUUAUUUUCCAUUUUCAAAAUGUUUAGUUUGUAAUAGAAUGUUGUAGUAAUGAAACUUGAAAAUUCCCAAAAAUUAUUCCUUUAUUUUUGCACUGAUUUUCACAAACUACGCCUGGUCUGAUUUGUGAGGGGUCACGAUACGUAGGCAAUCUCUAUAGGAUUCGACCGUAACCGAGUGAAAAGAAAAAGAAAAUAAAACAAAGAAAGGGAAAGAGGAAAGGAAAGAGCGUAAAAACAAGGAAAAUAAGCAUGAAAAUAAGAGAAGAGAGAAAAGAAAAAAAUAGCGAAAAAACAAGAAAGGAAUAGAAUGAGAAAAAUAAAGGGGGAAGAAAGGGAAAAGGAGAGAAAGAAAGAGAGAAAAGAAACCAAAAGGAAAGAGAAAGUUUACAGUUGGAACCAAGAAAAUGUCGGGAUGACGCAUGCGGUCGAGCAAAUGCAUAAUAGAAAUGUUUAACUGUAUAGGUGCAUUUAUGCCCAAUGUGCGAUUAUUCAAUCUGUUAAAGCCUAAUCGCUAACGGAAUUUUUGCCUAAAUGUGUGAGUUCAGGCAGGUGGUUAGAUGUUUGGUAUUCUGAAAACCCAUUCUUACAACACCUGAUCAAAAAACAAGCUGAAAAUGACUGGACAAGAAUAUGAUAUCAGUAUUAUGGACCCCUCGAAAGAAGUUGAGGUGACAGAUGUAAACACUAUGAAAGAGGAUAUGCAUAAACUAAAACAACAAAUGGAUGAAAUGCAUCAGGCCUGAUCUCAGGGGCAUCCAGCGCCAGUGUAUCCCGCCAAUCCAUCAUAUAUCCCGCCUUUGUUCAGGUUCAGGAGCCUCACACUGCCAAUUCAUCUCCAGACUUCCCUUACUACACACAGGGUCAUGGUACUACCUCCUACGCUCCUCAACCUCCACCACCUAAGCAAAACCCUCCUCUAUCCAUUACUCUUGUCUUUGUGGCACCUCCACCCGCCACACUGCAAAGAUCAUCCAGUGAGCCUUUGUUUCAAACUCACGAUGACAAAUACUAUCCCCCCUAAACCUACUAUUAGAGCCCCUGAGCCGUACCCUUAUACCCCUCACUUUGAGCUCCCGGCAGAGACUGAAAAGCUGUCUAAGAACCCAGAACAGGAAGAAGUGCUUCGAAAAAUGAAAAUCCUGGAGCAGUCCUUUAGGAAUACGCAUGGAUUGGGCAAUUAGGUCAGUGUGACAUAUAAAGAUCUUUGUUUGUUCCCCGAUGUCUAGCUACCUGCGGGGCUCAAAAUUCAGAAGUUUGAUCUGUGUGAUGGUCACGGCGACCCAGUGGCACAUUUACAAGGUUUCUUUACUAAGAUGAGAGGGGCCGGGGGAAAAGAUGAACUGUUGAUGGCAUACUUUGGGAAGAGUUUGAGUGGGUCUGCACUAGAAUAGAAUAAGAGCCAAAAUCCUAGCAGAUGGUAUACUUAGGAUGACCUAGCACAAGCAUUUUCCAGUCACUUCCAAUAUAAUCUUGAGAUCGUCCCAAACCGACUAUCAUAGAUAAAACUCGAGAAGAAACCCGGGGAAAGCUUCAAGAAAUACGAGUUCCGCUGGAGAGAGCAAGCUGCCAGGGUUGACCCCUCAAUGAGGGAAUAUGAAAUAGUGGAUUACUUUUUGCAGGCUUUGGAGCCAACAUACUUUGGUCACCUGGUGGAGGCAAUCUGCAAAUCUUUUAAUGAGGUGGUGAAGAUUGGAUCCAUGGUCGAUGAUGGUUUGAAGUCCAAUAAAAUCAUGAGCUAUUCAGCGAUUAAAGCAACCACUUAGUCCAUCCAAGGCAUCACUGGUGGUGUGCUUGGAAAGAAGAAGAAGGAAGAAGUCAAAACAGUUGAAGCUAAUACUUGGUACAGGCCCAGCAACCCUCAACCCUACUACAACCAACCCAGAACCCACCACUCAAAUUAUCCAUACACCCCAUAUGGCCCUCCACAACAUUACUAUCCACCACCAGAGCUAUAUUUUUCUGUCCAUCACACCCAGGCAUAUACCCAGCAACUGGCGCACCCGCAAUGGAGUGCACCAGUUCCCUAAAACACAUAUCCACCUCCACAAAACACAUAUUCACCCCCCGAGGCUUAUAGACCAAGAGCCAGAUUUCGCCCAAACCAAGAUUUUGGAAAUGAGAAGGUCCACAAACGGAAAACAUUCACUCCGUUGGGAGAAUCUUACACCACUCUUUUUCGUAGAUUGAAACAGCUGGGAAUGUUGACCCCAAUUGAGCCCAAAAUGCGAAACCCCCUCCUAGAAACCUGGACCAUUCGGUCAGCUAUGAGUAUUAUUCAGGAAUUCUAGGGCACGAUACUGAGAAAUGCUCGAUGUUCAAAAUUCGGUGCAGGAGCUUAUUGAUAAUCAUUAUAUUGAAGUUCAGGCCUCGGAGGCACAAAAAAUUAAUCAAACCCGUUUCCAGCUCAUCACGAUACCAAAAUGAUCGAAUUAGUGCACAAGGUAGGGGAGCUGAAGAAAUCCUCACAAACGGUCAUGAUGAUCCAUUCUAGUGAAGCCAAGGUGAACGAAAAGGCAGCUAGUGUGAAACCAGCAGUUCAGCCAAAAAAGAUAGAUGACAAAUGAGUUGUGGUGGUUGGAAAAGGAUCAUCUAUUGUUGUAAAGAUGCCAGAGCCAGCCAAUUUAGCGGUACAAGGGGUAUCAAGUGCGCAUGGUAGUUGGAAGGGGGCCUACAUCGAAACUGUUGUCAUAAAGCAGGUAGUCAGUUACUCAUGAUUGAUAGCAAAGUCGUGCCAUGGAAGUAUGAACAAGUAGUUGUCACUUACAAACGAAAGGAAAUCAAAGAAGAUGUUUGCGAACAACAAGGGUUAACUCGCUCGGGUAUGUGUUUUGCCCCCAAAGAGUUGAGAAAGGCCAGGGUUGCUAAAGAUAGUCCAGUACUAGUCAAAAAGAUGUGACAGAGGAUGAGGAAAAGGAGUUCUUGAAAAAGAUAAAAGUACAAGACUAUUCCAUUAUUGAUAAAUUGAGGAAAAUACCAGCCCAAAUCUCGUUGCUUUCACUACUGAUACAUUCAGAUGAGCAUCACCGGGCUCUGAUGAAAGAUAUUGAAUGAAGCUCAUGUCCCCGAUAAAAUUUCGGUGAAUCAUUUGGAAAAAAUCGCAACAAAAUCUUUGAAGUGAACAGGGUGACAUUUUCUGACGAUAAAUUGCCCAUGGAAGGUACAUAACAUAAUAGAGCUCUCUACUUGACAGUAAAGUACGAAGAGUCAUUAGUCACUCGGGUGUUGAUUGAUAACAGAUCCAGUGCCAAUAUUUGUCCUUUGUCAACGUUGAACAAUCAGAAGGUCGAUGAUGACAGGGUUCAUAAGAAUAGUGUCUGCAUUUGAGGGUUUGACGGUGGUGGUACGGACACAGUGUGGGAUGUCAUACUCGAAUUGACAAUUGGUCCAGUUGAGUUCACCAUGGAAUUUCAAGUGGUAGACGCGGUAGUGUCCUAUAAUCUGCUGUUGGGGCGACCAUGGAUCCACGCUGCCAAAGAGGUUCCUUCUACACUGCAUUAAAUGGUCAGGUUUGAGUAUGAUAGACAAGAGGUCGUGGUAAAUGGGGAAGAUAACACAUGCGCUGUAAGCGAUGCCAUCGUGCCCUUCAUAGAGACUGAUGAUGCUAAGGGGCUGUGGGUUUAUCAGUUCUUUGAUACAAUCUCAGUGGACUAGGUGUCGGAGGGUAAAAGUAUCCCACUCCCAAGAAUAGUAGAUGCAACUGUCGUGAUAGUUUCGAAGAUGCUGAAUAAUGGGUUCGUGCCAGAUAAAGGUUUGGGGGAUGAUCUCUAGGGUAGUGUUCAACCUGUUUCUUUACCCAAGAAUCUGGACACCUUUAGGCUGGGGUUCAAGCCAACGGCGGCAGAUGUGAGACGGACCCGCAAGAUGAAGAAAAGAGUCUGGGUUCUUCCCAAACUAAUCCACGCUUGUCCAGGUCCUUCUUUAGGCCAAGUAUCGAGAAACAGCUACUAGCAAAGGUGUUUGGUCCAUUGAUUGGUGCAGAUGGGAACUUGGAAAAGGGGUUUGAGAGAUUAUUUUAUAAAGUAACAUGGUUGAGGCCGGGGAAGGGUGGGGCAAAGAAGAUAUACAGUACAUCGGACCACGUGAUAAUGUCAACAAUUAAGAAGCUACUCCUCUUACCACUCGGAGGGAGUCAUGGUAGUGGUUUUUGUUUUCCUUUUGUUCACCAGGAUUAUCCCAAGGUUUGUAAUUCCGUUGAAAAAAACCCAAACCUGACCUAAAUGAGACAGAAGCAGUUAAUCUAGGGGACCAAGACAAUGUUCGUGAAACUAAAAUAAGUGUUCAUCUGGAUCCACAACUAAAGGAGUAGAUAACCAAAGCAUUGUUCGAGUAUACGGAUAUUUUUGCAUGGUCGUAUGAUGAUAUGCCGGGUCUAAGUACCGAUUUAGUGGUUCACAAAAUGCCCACUGAUCCGGCACUCCCAGCUGUCAAACACAAGCUGAGAAAGUUCAAGUUGGACAUAAGUGUAAACAUCAAAGAAAAGAUUACAAAGAAGUUUGAUGCAAAGAUCAUUCAGGUUACACGGUAUCCCACUUGGUUAGCUGCUGUUGUGUUUGUGCCGAAGAAAGAUGGCAAGACCAAGGUGUGUGUCAACUAUGGGAUCUUAACAAGGCAAGUCAAAAAGAUACUUUUCCACUACCGAACAUCCACAUAUUGAUUGAUAAUUAUGCCAAACAUGAGAUUGGCUAUUUUGUGGAUUGCUACGUGCAUUAUCAUCAUAUUUUAAUGGACGAGGAAGAUGCAGAAAAGACGACAUUCAUCACACCAUGAGGAACGUACUAUUAUCGUGUCAUGCCAUUUGGUAUGAAAAAUGUUGGGUCCACUUAUAUGAGGGCAAUGACAACAAUAUUCCAUGAUAUUAUACAAAAGUAAAUCGAGGUGUACGUGGAUGAUGUGAUCGUGAAGUAUAGACAACACUCUGACCAUGUCAGGGAUCUGAGAAAGUUCUUUUAAAGGCUUCACAGGUACAAUCUUAAGCUCAAUUUCGCAAAAUGUGCUUUCGAGGUACCAUCUGGAAAUUUGUUGGGAUUUAUAGUCAAUCGUCAGGGUAUUGAACUGGAUCCAUCGAAGAUUAAGGCCAUUUAGGAAUUGCCACCUCCGAGAAACAAAACUGAGGUGAUAAGUUUGUUGGGAAGGCUGAAUUAUAUUAGCAGGUUCAUUGCUCAGCUCACAACUACUUGUGAGCCCAUUUUCAAACUGUUAAAGAAAGAUGUUGCGGUCAAAUGGACGGAUGAAUGUUAGGGGGCUUUUGAUAAGAUAAAGCGGUAUUUGUCGAAUCCACCCGUAUUAGUCCCGCUAGAGCUAGGGAGGCCUUUGAUUCUAUAUUUGACAAUUUUGGAUAAUUCAUUUGGCUGCAUACUGUGCAAAAUGAUGUUACUAGUAGAAAGGAGCAGGCUAUCUAUUAUCUCAGCAUGAAGUUCACAUCUUACGAGGUCAAGUAUACUCAUCUGGAAAGGACGUGUUGUGCCUAACUUAGGUGGCACAAAAGUUGAAAAAUUAUUUGUCGUCCUAUACUACUUACCUCAUAUCUCGCUUGGACCCAUUGAAGUAUAUUUUCACAAGCCUAUGACCACAGGGAGGCUUUCAAAGAAAAGAAAAUGAAAAGAAAGGAAAGAAGAAAAGAAAAGAAAAACAAAAGGAAAAGAAAAAGAAAAAUCACAAACAAAAACAAAGUAAUUCUGUGAUGUGAAAUACGUUUGACUUGAUCUCGAAAGGGUACGUGGGCAGCCUUCUCUGAGAUUCAAUCAUACCAAAAUAAAAAUCCAAAAGUCCCCAAGCAAGAAACUGGGGCAGAAGUUGUGGUUAUUGGAAAAUUUUGAUUCUGAAAGUUCUAAUUUUAAUCAAUUUUUAAGUUAUUUUUGAGCCUUUUAUACCUUUCUUUCUACCUCAUCCAAAAGCCCACAUUACGGUCCAAAAGAAAGACCUUCCGAUCAGUCUUUGAGAAAUGCCAAGUCAAGUAGGUAGAGGUAAUCCGUGAUUGAGCAUCACUCUAGUUCAAGCAAGAAAAAAAAUAAAAUGAAAGAGUCUUGUUGGUGAAAACCUUCACAGGCACCAUAAGGUGACGGUGGAUGAGAGAAAUAAAAUGAGUGAGUCUGAUUGGUGAAACCCUCAGGGAUACCUUGAGGCAAAAAUGACUUGAGAAAUGGCUAAUUGAGAAAGGUCUGUUGGUGGAAAACUAUUUCGAGGCACCGCAAGAUUAGCAAGGGUAUGGUUUGGGAAAAGUAAUCAAGUGAUGGAAAUUCUGGGGCAACAAAGUAUGGCAAUUGAAAGUUGGUUAAUUGGACAUAUUGGGCUGAUUAAUCCGAAAUGCAUGUCAUGACCAUUGGUGCCAGUUGUUCCGGUCAGAUAAGUUUCUUUAUUUAUCCUUUUAGCAGUCAUUUGGUAUUGGAUUCUUCUUAUCCUUAUCUCCCAAAAUCAUUGCAUUUCAUUUUCUUUUGGGGGUUUUAUUUGUCUAAGAUGUUUCACUGUCAGUUUUGUUCAAUUCAAGGGAAAAUGAUUUCUAAGCUCACUACUAGCUUCCUAAAAUGGUAAAGCAUAUUGUGGUCAGAGCAUGUCAACAACAACACGAUGGAAAGUGGAGUAUGGGAAGUCGCUGGAAGCUUCAUCGGUGGAAUAAUUGGAAAAUGUUAUGGGAAUAUAAAGGUUUAGACAGAAAGGGUCAUAAAAGUGAAACAACGGCAUGUGUACAAAACAUUCAGGUUAUCAAAGGUUGGGGAAUUUCAAAAGUCAGUCAGAAAGUAAAGCGACUCAGGGUCAGUUCGAGAAAGUCAGUCAACACAAAGUAAGGCACUGGAAGGCUUUUUUAGCGAGAAUGCCAUCAACUAACCACCAUUUUAAAUUAACGAAAUUUCCUUUGAUUGGAACAGGGGCAGAAAAUUGGUUGUUCAGGAGGAAUUCUCCAUGAGGGAAAGGCAAGCAGUAGUAGGUUUGACCGCAAGUGUGGUGUGGUUAAAAUACAAGACAAUGAGGAAUAACAUAGGGAAAUGUAAGUUAGUUUCAAAGUUUGCAUGUUUAGG
This 12984-nucleotide long non-coding RNA is filed under the name Nicotiana benthamiana. RNAcentral describes it as "long non-coding RNA (NBEN_LNC030789)". Lineage: Eukaryota; Viridiplantae; Streptophyta; Magnoliopsida; Solanales; Solanaceae. The record is from RNAcentral.